RNAcentral lists this long non-coding RNA (506 nucleotides) under Nicotiana benthamiana. RNAcentral describes it as "long non-coding RNA (NBEN_LNC016362)". The record is from RNAcentral. Lineage: Eukaryota; Viridiplantae; Streptophyta; Magnoliopsida; Solanales; Solanaceae.
UUCAGUUUCCAAAGUAUAUGCGAAAGCGGUUGAUUGUAUUGAGACUAUAAUUAAAGGAAAGAUUUUAUAUCUUCUAUUACUACAACUUGUAACGAAAUAAUAUGUAUGCGAAAAGCUACUCGUUUUAUUCUCCAAUUUGUACUACACAAAUAAAAGAAUGCCACAAUAAAGUAGAACUUUAUUAACAUAAAACUCAUAUCAUAAUAAACUUGGAGUUUAUUGAUAUCCAGUUGGCAUAGCUGGUUUAGUCAUUUUAAUUAAAGUAUGAUGUGCAAAAAUAAACGAGAAUCUAUAUGGGUAAAUAUUGAAGAACUAGAAAGAUCUUUACGAAUUCUCUUAGGUUGCUUGUUCUCUUUAAUUGAUAGACCAAUUAAAACUGGCAUUGAAUCCCAUGAAUGCUGGAAAUAUCAAAGGUGAAUAUGGGCCCAUUCAUCUGCCAUGUAUCUGGAAAUGUCAAAGGUGAAUAUGAGCUUAUUCACCUGCCAUGUAUACCACAUAAGAUGCAU